Long non-coding RNA from Schistocerca piceifrons (Central American locust), 274 nucleotides. RefSeq lists it as uncharacterized. Lineage: Eukaryota; Metazoa; Arthropoda; Insecta; Orthoptera; Acrididae. The record is from RefSeq and is a predicted model, not a curated record. The transcript is spliced from 3 exons.
AGGUUAAUAUCUCCGCGAUUUUUCGUCAAACAGCAGAAGGGACAUCCAUCAGCCAACUCGUCACACUUGAGGACAGAAGGAGAAGCUGUUGUCCAGGCGUGAUCGCUCCCUGCUCAAUAACACGGCGAGGGGCGACAUCUCUUCAGCGCGUCUUCGGAUGAUGCAGUGAGGCGGUGAGGUGACGGUGACGGUGACGGCGAGACGCACAGCCGGCCAGUGAGGAUGCGACGACCCCUGCCCCUGGUGCUGGUGCUGGCGCUGCUGGCGACGUUGU